Long non-coding RNA from Conger conger (European conger), 229 nucleotides. RefSeq lists it as uncharacterized. The transcript is spliced from 3 exons. NCBI's taxonomy places the organism in Eukaryota, Metazoa, Chordata, Actinopteri, Anguilliformes, Congridae. The record is from RefSeq and is a predicted model, not a curated record.
AGGAGCUGGAGCUGGCCGCGGUGUAUGUGUCUGACGCUCAGCACGACCGCAACAUCACCUUCGACACGUCGCCUCCGGGCAUCAGGCUGUAUAUGCUGUAUAACCACUGGGCCCUGCUGGUGCUGGUGCACCUGCUGAUCAUCAUCAACCUGUCUCUCGCUGUCUUCGAGGACCCAGCUGUCUACCCUUUGCCUCUAUGGGUGACGUUGGCGGUGGAGCUUGUCUGCCU